RNAcentral lists this ribosomal RNA (497 nucleotides) under uncultured bacterium. RNAcentral's name for it is "partial 16S ribosomal RNA". It matches the Rfam family "Bacterial small subunit ribosomal RNA", at positions 28 to 507 of the family's 1533-position model. The record is from RNAcentral.
GAUGAACGCUGGCGGCGUGCCUAAUACAUGCAAGUCGAGCGAACAGACGAGGAGCUUGCUCCUCUGACGUUAGCGGCGGACGGGUGAGUAACACGUGGAUAACCUACCUAUAAGACCGGGAUAACUUCGGGAAACCGGAGCUAAUACCGGAUAAUAUAUUGAACCGCAUGGUUCAAUAGUGAAAGACGGUUUUGCUGUCACUUAUAUAUGGAUCCGCGCCGCAUUAGCUAGUUGGUAAGGUAACGGCUUACCAAGGCAACGAUGCGUAGCCGACCUGAGAGGGUGAUCGGCCACACUGGAACGGAGACACGGUCCAGACUCCUACGGGAGGCAGCAGUAGGGAAUCGUCCGCAAUGGGCGAAAGCCUGACGGAGCAACGCCGCGUGAGUGAUGAAGGUCUUCGGAUCGUAAAACUCUGUUAUGAGGGAAGAACAAAUGUGUAAGUAACUAUGCACGUCUUGACGGUACCUAAUCAGAAAGCCACGGCUAACUACGUG